RNAcentral lists this ribosomal RNA (497 nucleotides) under uncultured bacterium. RNAcentral's name for it is "partial 16S ribosomal RNA". It matches the Rfam family "Bacterial small subunit ribosomal RNA", at positions 28 to 507 of the family's 1533-position model. The record is from RNAcentral.
GAUGAACGCUGGCGGCGUGCCUAAUACAUGCCAGUCGAGCGAACGGACGAGAAGCUUGCUUCUCUGAUGUUAGCGGCGGACGGGUGAGUAACACGUGGAUAACCUACCUAUAAGACUGGGAUAACUUCGGGAAACCGUAGCUAAUACCGGAUAAUAUUUUGAACCGCAUGGUUCAAAAGUGAAAGACGGUCUUGCUGUCACUUAUAGAUGGAUCCGCGCUGCAUUAGCUAGUUGGUAAGGUAACGGCUUACCAAGGCAACGAUGCAUAGCCGACCUGAGAGGGUGAUCGGCCACACUGGAACUGGGACACGGUCCAGACUCCUACGGGAGGCAGCAGUAGGGAAUCUUCCGCAAUGGGCGAAAGCCUGACGGAGCAACGCCGCGUGAGUGAUGAAGGUCUUCGGAUCGUAAAACUCUGUUAUUAGGGAAGAACAUAUGUGUAAGUAACUGUGCACAUCUUGACGGUACCUAAUCAGAAAGCCACGGCUAACUACGUG